Molecule: non-coding RNA, 49 nt
Filed under: Trichobilharzia regenti
Lineage: Eukaryota; Metazoa; Platyhelminthes; Trematoda; Strigeidida; Schistosomatidae
Source: RNAcentral
AUCUAGUUGACGAGUCCCAAAUAGGACGAAAUGCGCUUUUAUCCUGGAU